This 484-nucleotide ribosomal RNA is filed under the name uncultured bacterium. RNAcentral's name for it is "partial 16S ribosomal RNA". It matches the Rfam family "Bacterial small subunit ribosomal RNA", at positions 30 to 507 of the family's 1533-position model. The record is from RNAcentral.
AUUGAACGCUGGCGGCAGGCCUAACACAUGCAAGUCGAGCGGAUGAAGGGAGCUUGCUCCUGGAUUCAGCGGCGGACGGGUGAGUAAUGCCUAGGAAUCUGCCUGGUAGUGGGGGAUAACGUCCGGAAACGGGCGCUAAUACCGCAUACGUCCUGCGGGAGAAAGUGGGGGAUCUUCGGACCUCACGCUAUCAGAUGAGCCUAGGUCGGAUUAGCUAGUUGGUGGGGUAAAGGCCUACCAAGGCGACGAUCCGUAACUGGUCUGAGAGGAUGAUCAGUCACACGGGAACUGAGACACGGUCCAGACUCCUAAGGGAGGCAGCAGUGGGGAAUAUUAGACAGUAGUCGAAAGCCUGAUCCAGCCAGGCCGCGUGUGUGAAGAAGGUCUUCGGAGUGUAAAGCACUUUAAGUGGGGAGAAAGGGCAGUAAGUUAAUACCUUGCUGGUUUGACGUUACCAACAGAAUAAGCACCGGCUAACUUCGUG